CAGAAUGGCCACGGGUACCUUUUCGGCUCUCCUAGCUCUUUCGGCCGGUUGGCGAGUGGCUUUUGUGUAGGCAAAUGAUCGAUUCUUCGAUAAUUCUCACUCCAUCGUUAAGUCAGGGCUCAAGGACGGACAUUUACUUGUCCCACAAAGUCACCCUAUUGGCCCGUUACAACUUUGGAAGAUCAAGACACAACUUCUUUUAUCCUGUCGUUUUGACAGGUUGAAGUUACGAAAAGUCGAUAAGAGUUGGGGGCUCUACGCGCAAGCACCCACCUAGAGGGUCCCCUUAGACUUUGACUUUACAUCUUAUAGAACUGACCAUACUUGUACACACGAUACGAGUACAAGUGACGAGCUCUUUGAUCCAAUGCUUGUAGCUACUCGGAAUGUAAACUGUUUUCUUGUCCUCUGUAGGACGUUUGAGUGGCUAUGAUGUUAUUCGGCUUGGUCAAAUUUGAUCAAUCUGAUUUUUCCUGAUUUUUGC
Molecule: unclassified non-coding RNA, 484 nt
Filed under: Yarrowia lipolytica
Lineage: Eukaryota; Fungi; Ascomycota; Dipodascomycetes; Dipodascales
Source: RNAcentral